RNAcentral lists this transfer RNA (73 nucleotides) under Candidatus Woesearchaeota archaeon. RNAcentral's name for it is "tRNA-Asn". It matches the Rfam family "tRNA". From Rfam's summary of the family: Transfer RNA (tRNA) molecules are approximately 80 nucleotides in length. Their secondary structure includes four short double-helical elements and three loops (D, anti-codon, and T loops). Lineage: Archaea; Nanobdellati; Candidatus Woesearchaeota. The record is from RNAcentral.
GCCCCGGUAGCUUAGCAGGUAGAGCGUGCGGCUGUUAACCGCAAGGUCAUCAGUUCGAGUCUGGUCCGGGGCG